UUGAUCAUGGCUCAGAUUGAACGCUGGCGGCAUGCCUUACACAUGCAAGUCGAACGGCAGCACGGGGGCAACCCUGGUGGCGAGUGGCGAACGGGUGAGUGAUACAUCGGAACGUGUCCUGUAGUGGGGGAUAGCCCGGCGAAAGCCGGAUUAAUACCGCAUACGGAUCUACGGAAGAAAGCGGGGGAUCGCAAGACCUCGCGCUAUAGGGGCGGCCGAUGGCAGAUUAGCUAGUUGGUGGGGUAAAGGCCUACCAAGGCGACGAUCUGUAGCUGGUCUGAGAGGACGACCAGCCACACUGGGACUGAGACACGGCCCAGACUCCUACGGGAGGCAGCAGUGGGCAAUUCUGGACAAUGGGGGAAACCCUGAUCCAGCAAUGCCGCGUGUGUGAAGAAGGCUUCGGGUUGUAAAGCACUUUUGUCCGGAAAGAAAACAUUUGGGCUAAUACCCUGAGGGGAUGACGGUACCGGAAGAAUAAGCACCGGCU
RNAcentral lists this ribosomal RNA (490 nucleotides) under bacterium PMB47. RNAcentral describes it as "bacterial SSU rRNA". It matches the Rfam family "Bacterial small subunit ribosomal RNA", at positions 13 to 498 of the family's 1533-position model. The record is from RNAcentral.